UAUAAGUUUGAUUCUAACUUAAUUUUUUAUAUUUUAUUUAAAAGAUGCAUGCAAUAUUUGAAAGGUUACUAUAAUUAGAUAAUUAUAUAUUAUUACACUCGCAGCAUAUUAUAUUAAAAAUAAAUUAAAGUUUGAUUUAAUAAGUAAAGUAAGAUUUGGCUAAAACUUGUGCCAGCUGCCGCGGUUAUACUCUAAAAUCAAGUAAAAAUCAAUUAGUUGGUAGUUAAUUAUUUUAAUUUUUAUAUAAUUUUGUUUUAAUAAAAGGUGAUAUUAGACUGUUAACUAUAUAAUUUUAUACUAUUAAAUAUAUGUGAAACUAUUGAAUUCAAGAUUAAAACUAGAAUUAGAUACUCUAUUAUUCUUGACCCUAAAAUAAACUCUUAAAUAUUAUAAGUUAUGUUCUUUAAAUUUAAAGAAUUUGGCGGUAAUUUAGUCCAGUUAGAGGAACCUGUUUUUUAAACGAUGAUCCCCGUAAAAUCUUACCUAUUUUAUUUUAGUUUGUAUACCGUCAUUAUUAGAUAAUUUUGAUAAAAUUAAUUAUUUAAAUAUAUUUAUUAUAAUAUAUUAGAUCAAGGUGCAGCUUAUAGAUAGGUUAAAAUGGGUUACAAUUAAAUUUAUUUAUUAUGAAUUUAAAAUUUAAAUAUUUUUUUGAAAGUGGAUUUAAUUGUAAAUUUAAUUUAAUAAGUUAAAUUGAUAACGGCUCUAGAUUAUGUACAUAUCGCCCGUCGCUUUCAUUUUUAAAAUGAAAUAAGUCGUAACAUAGUAGGUGUACUGGAAAGUGCCCCUGGAUAUAA
RNAcentral lists this non-coding RNA (794 nucleotides) under Eiconaxius sp. 1 QK-2020. The record is from RNAcentral. Lineage: Eukaryota; Metazoa; Arthropoda; Malacostraca; Decapoda; Axiidae.